CCAAAUGCCAUGUCUUAGUACGGCGAGUGAGCGGCAACAGCUCAAAUUUGAAAGCUGGCUCCUUCGGAGUCCGCAUUGUAAUUUGUAGAGGAUGAUUCGGCGAGGGCUCCCGCCUAAGUCCACUGGAACGUGGCGUCAUAGAGGGUGAGAAUCCCGUAUGCGGUGGGUUGCCUUAGCCAUGUGAAUCUCCUUCGACGAGUCGAGUUGUUUGGGAAUGCAGCUCUAAAUGGGAGGUAAAUUUCUUCUAAAGCUAAAUACCGGCCAGAGACCGAUAGCGCACAAGUAGAGUGAUCGAAAGAUGAAAAGCACUUUGGAAAGAGAGUUAAAAAGUACGUGAAAUUGUUGAAAGGGAAGGGCUUGCAACCAGACUUGUCCGCAGUUGCUCAGCCGGUCUCCUGACCGGCGUACUCUUCUGCGGCCAGGCCAGCAUCAGUUCGGGCGGUCGGAUAAAGACCUAGGGAAUGUAGCUCCUCUCGGGGAGUGUUAUAGCCCUGGGUGGAAUGCGGCCAGCCUGGACUGAGGAUCUCGCUUCGGCUAGGAUGCUGGCGUAAUGGUUGUAAGCCGCCCGUCUUGAACCACGGACC
RNAcentral lists this ribosomal RNA (584 nucleotides) under Phaeobotryon rhois. RNAcentral's name for it is "partial large subunit ribosomal RNA". It matches the Rfam family "Eukaryotic large subunit ribosomal RNA", at positions 65 to 667 of the family's 3401-position model. Lineage: Eukaryota; Fungi; Ascomycota; Dothideomycetes; Botryosphaeriales; Botryosphaeriaceae. The record is from RNAcentral.